GAUGAACGCUGGCGGCGUGCUUAACACAUGCAAGUCGAACGGAAAGGCCGAAGCUUGCUUCGGUACUCGAGUGGCGAACGGGUGAGUAACACGUGGGUGAUCUGCCCUGUACUUCGGGAUAAGCUUGGGAAACUGGGUCUAAUACCGGAUUUGACAAUCUCUUGGAUGGGGUUGUGGAAAGCUUUUGCGGUAUGGGAUGAGCUCGCGGCCUAUCAGCUUGUUGGUGGGGUAAUGGCCUACCAAGGCGUCGACGGGUAGCCGGCCUGAGAGGGUGUACGGCCACAUUGGGACUGAGAUACGGCCCAGACUCCUACGGGAGGCAGCAGUGGGGAAUAUUGCACAAUGGGCGCAAGCCUGAUGCAGCGACGCCGCGUGGGGGAUGACGGCCUUCGGGUUGUAAACUCCUUUCGCAACCGACGAAGCUUUUGUGACGGUAGGUUGAGAAGAAGCACCGGCUAACUACGUG
RNAcentral lists this ribosomal RNA (466 nucleotides) under uncultured bacterium. RNAcentral describes it as "partial 16S ribosomal RNA". It matches the Rfam family "Bacterial small subunit ribosomal RNA", at positions 28 to 507 of the family's 1533-position model. The record is from RNAcentral.